This 1151-nucleotide long non-coding RNA is filed under the name Salmo salar (Atlantic salmon). RNAcentral's name for it is "lncRNA (ENSSSAG00000087901.1, ENSSSAG00000102438.1)". Lineage: Eukaryota; Metazoa; Chordata; Actinopteri; Salmoniformes; Salmonidae. The record is from RNAcentral.
UGACAUGGUGAGUAGUUGACUCAAAGCUAGAGAAAGAUAAUAGUUGAACAGUUCUGAAAAAUGAGUUCCUUCAAAACUGAAGGAUAAGCAAGAGAGAGAGCUAGUUAUAUAUUUUUUUUUACUUUUAUUUUCACUUAUCUAGCGAAUGCAGCUAACUAGUUUAGCCUACUCAAACACCUCACUCAAACAGAGAGGGAUGCUAUGGUUGCUUGCUUGCUAUGCAGCACUGGAACUUCCAAGUCAAGGGGAGCCAGCCUUGUAUGUGGAUGAAGGCUCUGAGUGGACACAGGGAGCCGCACUAAACCCAAUACCAUCCUCUCCAUCUGUCUGCAGCAUGGGUCAUGGAACCUUUACACUCUGCUCUGGCGUUCUCACUCGAUGAUGGUGGCUGCUGGUGUUCCUAUCCUGGGAGGUUACAGAGGCAUGGCAGGGGCCUGCAGAGGUCGGGCCAAAGGCCCAUUACUUCACGAGUGCAGCACAGGUAACCUUUGCUGCCUUGCCUACAGAAUGGUGCCAACAUGGGAAGUGGUUGCUUGAGGGAUGGGCCCAAAAAAGUGUCUCCCAUUUUCCCCAUUAUCCCCUGUGCAUUUAUACCUGCGUUUUCUGUUUGUCUGUUGCCAGUUUGUCUUGUCUCGUCAAGCCUACCAGUGUGUUGUUCCAUACUCCUAUUUCUCUAGUUCCCGUUUUCCAGUCUUCCCAGUUCCAACCUUUUCUGCCUGCCCCCGAGCCUGCCUGCCUGCCGUCCUGUACCUAUCUGACUGAGCUGGUUACGAACUUCUGCCGGCCCUGACCCUGAGACUGCCUGCCGCCCUGUACCUGUCAAAGUUGGACCUGGUUACGAACCUCUGCCUGUCCUCGACCUUCCCUUUGCCUGCCUCCUGUGGAUUAAUAAACGAGUCUGUGUAUUGAACCUUCCGUCUCCUGUGUAUGCAUCUAGGUCAUAUCCUGAGUCAUGUUAGCUUAAAAUGUAAUAGCAAAACAGUUUGUUCAAAGCGGUCUCCAGACCCCCUUCACACUAUUCACUGUCCUUUUGGAAAAGUUAAAUUAACUUGGUAAUUGAAGGAGUUUCUGUUUUGAGGGAUAUAGGAUCUGUCAUGUUUGCUAUUAUACAGAAUAUAAUACGUGUCACCAUCUUUUAGAGAAAAUCUUGC